UGGGGAAUCUUGCACAAUGGGGGCAACCCUGAUGCAGCGACGCCGCGUGAGCGAUGAAGCCCUUCGGGGCGUAAAGCUCUUUCGACCGGAACGAUAGUGACGGUACCGGGAGAAGAAGCUGCGGCUAACUACGUGCCAGCAGCCGCGGUAAUACGUAGGGAGCAAGCGUUGUUCGGAUUUACUGGGCGUAAAGGGCGCGUAGGCGGCGCGGUAAGUCACUUGUGAAAUCUCUGAGCUUAACUCAGAACGGCCAAGUGAUACUGCUGGGCUAGAGUGCGGAAGAGGCAACCGUAAUUCUUGGUGUUGCGGGGAAAUGCGUAGAUAUCAAGAGGAACACCUGAGGCGAAGGCGGGUUGCUGGGCCGACACUUACGCUGAUGCGCGAAAGCCAGGGGAGCAAACG
This 402-nucleotide ribosomal RNA is filed under the name uncultured bacterium. Its description in RNAcentral is "bacterial SSU rRNA". It matches the Rfam family "Bacterial small subunit ribosomal RNA", at positions 355 to 774 of the family's 1533-position model. The record is from RNAcentral.